CAAUGGGCGCAAGCCUGAUGCAGCCAUGCCGCGUGUAUGAAGAAGGCCUUCGGGUUGUAAAGUACUUUCAGCAGUGAGGAAGGUGGGUAUGUUAAUAGCAUAUUCAUUUGACGUUAGCUGCAGAAGAAGCACCGGCUAACUCCGUGCCAGCAGCCGCGGUAAUACGGAGGGUGCGAGCGUUAAUCGGAAUUACUGGGCGUAAAGCGCAUGCAGGUGGUUUGUUAAGUCAGAUGUGAAAGCCCGGGGCUCAACCUCGGAAUUGCAUUUGAAACUGGCAAACUAGAGUACUGUAGAGGGGGUAGAAUUUCAGGUGUAGCGGUGAAAUGCGUAGAGAUCUGAAGGAAUACCGGUGGCGAAGGCGGCCCCCUGGACAGAUACUGACACUCAGAUGCGAAAGCGUGGGGAGCAAACAGGAUUAGAUACCCUGGUAG
Molecule: ribosomal RNA, 431 nt
Filed under: uncultured bacterium
Lineage: Bacteria
Description: bacterial SSU rRNA
Rfam family: Bacterial small subunit ribosomal RNA
Source: RNAcentral